Non-coding RNA from Brachypodium distachyon (stiff brome), 136 nucleotides. Lineage: Eukaryota; Viridiplantae; Streptophyta; Magnoliopsida; Poales; Poaceae. The record is from Rfam.
ACUGUAUUCUCUCCGUCCAACAAAUGAUGUCUCAACUUUGAUUAAAUUUGAAUGCAUCUAUACACUAAGUUAUGUCUAGAUAUAUUCAAAUUUUGACAAACUUGAUACAUGUUUUGUUGGAUGGAGAGAUUACAUC